GUCUACGGCCAUGCCACCCUGAACAAGCCCGAUCCCGCCUGAUCUUGGAAGCUAAGCAGGGUCAGGCCUGGUUAUUACUUGGAUAGAAGACCAUCUAGGAAGACCUGUAGGCAUAAAAA
This 119-nucleotide ribosomal RNA is filed under the name Pteropus alecto (black flying fox). The record is from RNAcentral. Lineage: Eukaryota; Metazoa; Chordata; Mammalia; Chiroptera; Pteropodidae.